GAGGAACUCUUGGUCAACCUCAGGCUCAGAGAUUUCACAAGUGAAGGGUCCUCAGUAGGAGCUCUUCCCCUCGCCUUUGAGCUCAGCACUUCUGCUCCCUCUACUUCCCCUAUUUCCCCCAUAAGGACUCUCUUUCUCUGUUCCCUUAGUUCUUCUUUCUUCUCAGAGAAUCAGAAGCAGUAAGAGAAGAGUCAGCGUACUGCCCCUUGUACUGCCUCCCCAGGUUCCAGACUGAGGAGGCAUGAGGUGAGGUGUCCUUACCCCCUAAAUGCCUGAAGAGGUCCAGAAUGGCCAGAGAAGCCCCACUGCUGCUGUUCCUGAUGUCACUGGGAAUCUCAGGCUCCCAGGAAACAAGAAGUUUGGAUGAGAACUACUUAAGAAAAGAAGGGCAGAUGUUGAAUGUAAGCUGCUCGUAUCCUCUCAAGGACCAUGAGAAGUCUUGGAAAGUUUGGUGUAAACUACAAGAGAAUAGAAAGGAUUGUAACAAAUUAGUGGUCAUAACAAAAUUCUGGGUUUUCACCAAAGAAGGUAAAUUCUCCCUUCAAUUAAUUGAUGAGUCUAAGUCUGGCCACAUCAUCAUCAUAAUGUCAGGACUCAGGGAAAAGGACUCAGGACAUUACUGGUGCAUGACCAUCAAGAAAAACAAUGCCAUUAUCCUCAAGAGAAUCCACCUGGUAGUGUCUCCAGCCCAGAACACCACCAAAGAGAUUUGGACUACUUCAGGAGUCCCUUCCAACACUCCAGCCACCUGCAGUCUUAUUGAGCACCUCUCUUCUCCAUGCGAAGAAAAGAGAGCCAGGAAGCCCAAGUUUCUUAGAAAAGGAGAAAUUCCUCAUUUUGGGUGUGGUCCUGACCUUCCUGCUCCUAUUAGGGGUCCUUAUUACAGGAACUGUGUACAUCAAGAAACUCCACCAGAAAGUCAAGAAAGGGCAUCACCAAGGAGAUGGACUAUGAAGAAGGUCCUGGGGACAUCCAUUAUGCCUCAGUGACCUACAUUGGCCCCAGAGAACCGAUGUGCACAAACACACAGAAGGCAUCCAGCUCGAAGACUAUGCAAAUGCCCUUUGAGUCUGUGGAAUAUGCCAGCAUCACAAGGGCUGAACAUCAGCAUCCCAAAUCAACAGCCAUAUAUGAGUCAAUGGGCAAGGAGAGUUAGUCAUCUGUAGGUGCUUAAUAAAUACAUGUUGAUUGCUAAUAUAGAAAUAUGU
This 1208-nucleotide long non-coding RNA is filed under the name Vombatus ursinus (common wombat). Its description in RNAcentral is "lncRNA (ENSVURG00010021634.1)". The record is from RNAcentral. Lineage: Eukaryota; Metazoa; Chordata; Mammalia; Diprotodontia; Vombatidae.